RNAcentral lists this ribosomal RNA (446 nucleotides) under uncultured bacterium. Its description in RNAcentral is "partial 16S ribosomal RNA". It matches the Rfam family "Bacterial small subunit ribosomal RNA", at positions 338 to 795 of the family's 1533-position model. The record is from RNAcentral.
CCUACGGGUGGCAGCAGUCGAGAAUCAUUCACAAUGGGGGAAACCCUGAUGGUGCGACGCCGCGUGGGGGAAUGAAGGUCUUCGGAUUGUAAACCCCUGUCAUGUGGGAGCAAAUUAAAAAGAUAGUACCACAAGAGGAAGAGACGGCUAACUCUGUGCCAGCAGCCGCGGUAAUACAGAGGUCCCAAGCGGUGUUCGGAAUCACUGGGCGUAAAGCGUGCGUAGGCUGUUUCGUAAGUCGUGUGUGAAAGGCGCGGGCUCAACCCGCGGACGGCACAUGAUACUGCGAGACUAGAGUAAGGGAGGGGGAACCGGAAUUCUCGGUGUAGCAGUGAAAUGCGUAGAUAUCGAGAGGAACACUCGUGGCGAAGGCGGGUUCCUGGACAUUAACUGACGCUGAGGCACGAAGGCCAGGGGAGCGAAAGGGAUUAGAUACCCCUGUAGUC